Molecule: ribosomal RNA, 320 nt
Filed under: uncultured eukaryote
Lineage: Eukaryota
Description: partial 18S ribosomal RNA
Rfam family: Eukaryotic small subunit ribosomal RNA
Source: RNAcentral
CCCCUAGAUGUUCUGGGCCGCACGCGCGCUACACUGAACAGUUCAACAAGUCUUAACCUUGGCCGAUAGGUCUGGGUAAUCUUUGAACGCCGUUCGUGAUUGGGAUAGACCUUUGCAAUUAUGGGUCUUCAACGAGGAAUUCCUAGUAAACGCAAGUCAUCAGCUUGCAUUGAUUACGUCCCUGCCCUUUGUACACACCGCCCGUCGCACCUACCGAUUGAAUGGUCCGGUGAAAUCUCGGGACGGCGGCUUGGUCGCUUGCGUCCGACUGCUGAAACUUGAUUAAACCAUNUNAUUUAUNGGAAGGUGAANUCGUANCA